RNAcentral lists this ribosomal RNA (652 nucleotides) under uncultured Eubacteriales bacterium. RNAcentral describes it as "bacterial SSU rRNA". It matches the Rfam family "Bacterial small subunit ribosomal RNA", at positions 145 to 811 of the family's 1533-position model. The record is from RNAcentral. Lineage: Bacteria; Bacillati; Bacillota; Clostridia; Eubacteriales.
AACGUACCGAAAGGUACACUAAUACCGCAUGAGACCCCGGCAGCGCAUGCUGCAGAGGUCAAAGGAGCAAUCCGGUGUAAGAUGGACUCGCGUCCGAUUAGAUAGUUGGUGAGGUAACGGCCCACCAAGUCAGCGAUCGGUAGCCGACCUGAGAGGGUGAUCGGCCACAUUGGAACUGAGAGACGGUCCAAACUCCUACGGGAGGCAGCAGUGGGGAAUAUCGGGCAAUGGGGGAAACCCUGACCCAGCGACGCCGCGUGAGGGAAGAAGGUUUUCGGAUUGUAAACCUCUGUUCUUGGUGAAGAGAAGAAGACGGUAGCCAAGGAGGAAGCCCCGGCUAACUACGUGCCAGCAGCCGCGGUAAUACGUAGGGGGCGAGCGUUGUCCGGAAUGAUUGGGCGUAAAGGGCGCGUAGGCGGCUGAUUAAGUCUGGAGUGGAAGUCCUAUUUUCAAGGUAGGAAUUGCUUUGGAAACUGAUCAGCUUGAGUGCAGGAGAGGUUAUCGGAAUUCCCGGUGUAGCGGUGAAAUGCGUAGAGAUCGGGAGGAACACCAGUGGCGAAGGCGGGUAACUGGACUGCAACUGACGCUGAGGCGCGAAAGUGUGGGGAGCAAACAGGAUUAGAUACCCUGGUAGUCCACACUGUAAACGAUG